GCCUGGGUGGCUCAGUCGGUUAAGCGUCCGACUUCGGCUCAGGUCAUGAUCUCGCGGUUCGUGGGUUCGAGCCCCACGUCGGGCU
This 85-nucleotide transfer RNA is filed under the name Crocuta crocuta (spotted hyena). It matches the Rfam family "tRNA". From Rfam's summary of the family: Transfer RNA (tRNA) molecules are approximately 80 nucleotides in length. The record is from Rfam by way of RNAcentral. Lineage: Eukaryota; Metazoa; Chordata; Mammalia; Carnivora; Hyaenidae. RNAcentral also lists the same sequence under 2 other names.